UGUAUCACUUUGGCAGCAAUACACUAAAAUUGGAAUGAUACAGAGAAGAUUAACAUGGCCCCUAUGCAAAUUGAUCAUGCAAAUUCAUGAAGUGUGCCAUAUUUUU
Otolemur garnettii (small-eared galago) is the source of this 106-nucleotide small nuclear RNA. The record is from Ensembl. Lineage: Eukaryota; Metazoa; Chordata; Mammalia; Primates; Galagidae.